GCCGGUGUGGCUCAGUGGUUGAGCAUCGACCUAUGAACCGGGAGGUCCCGGGUUCGAUUCCCGGUCAAGGGCA
Molecule: non-coding RNA, 73 nt
Organism: Myotis brandtii (Brandt's bat)
Lineage: Eukaryota; Metazoa; Chordata; Mammalia; Chiroptera; Vespertilionidae
Source: Rfam